Molecule: ribosomal RNA, 183 nt
Filed under: Escherichia coli
Lineage: Bacteria; Pseudomonadati; Pseudomonadota; Gammaproteobacteria; Enterobacterales; Enterobacteriaceae
Description: partial 16S ribosomal RNA
Rfam family: Bacterial small subunit ribosomal RNA
Source: RNAcentral
UUAAAUUGAAGAGUUUGAUCAUGGCUCAGAUUGAACGCUGGCGGCAGGCCUAACACAUGCAAGUCGAACGGUAACAGGAAACAGCUUGCUGUUUCGCUGACGAGUGGCGGACGGGUGAGUAAUGUCUGGGAAACUGCCCGAUGGAGGGGGAUAACUACUGGAAACGGUAGCUAAUACCGCAUA